Molecule: small nuclear RNA, 107 nt
Organism: Talpa occidentalis (Iberian mole)
Lineage: Eukaryota; Metazoa; Chordata; Mammalia; Eulipotyphla; Talpidae
Source: RefSeq, a predicted model, not a curated record
GAGGUCACCUGGGCAACACACAUACCAGAGUUGGAAGUAUACAGAGAAGAUUAGCACAGCCCCUGCACAAAGAUGACAUGGAAAUGCCUGAAGCCAUCCAUAUUUAA